RNAcentral lists this ribosomal RNA (119 nucleotides) under Pteropus alecto (black flying fox). Lineage: Eukaryota; Metazoa; Chordata; Mammalia; Chiroptera; Pteropodidae. The record is from RNAcentral.
GUCUACAGCCAUGCUAUCAUGAGCAAGCCCGACCCCGUCUGAUUUCAGAAGCUAAGCAGGGUUGGGCCUGGUUAGUACUUGGAUGGGAGACCGCUUAGGAAGACCAGGUGCUGUAGGCA